AAUACAUAUAUUAAAAAUUAUGAAUUUCAUAAAAGUUUUAGCAGUGACAUUUUCUUUAAUUAUGAUUUUUAUAGCAAAUAGUAAUGUAAGUGGUAAGGUGAACUUAAAAUGUCCAUUAGAAUGUGCAAAGACAUGUUUUGCUGAUCCUGCUUGCAUAGCACUUUGCUUGAAGGAUUGUGUUGCUUGUACAUCAUUCAAUUGUAAGUUUGCUUGUUCAAUGGAACGUUGCUCCAAAUUUAAAGAAGAUGAUGAGCUAAUGGGCAGCUGCUGGAAUGAAUGUGGAACAAAAGAAUGCACCUAAUUAGAAAGACAUGUACUAUUAUGCUACUUGUUUAGCUAAAGCUAACUAGAAGAGCAACUUGAUGAAUCAAAUGUAAUCAAAAUUUAUGUUGUUAAUAAAGUACUAUUUUUGAAGCA
Capsicum annuum is the source of this 417-nucleotide long non-coding RNA. RefSeq lists it as uncharacterized. The record is from RefSeq and is a predicted model, not a curated record. NCBI's taxonomy places the organism in Eukaryota, Viridiplantae, Streptophyta, Magnoliopsida, Solanales, Solanaceae. The transcript has 2 exons.